This 497-nucleotide ribosomal RNA is filed under the name uncultured bacterium. Its description in RNAcentral is "partial 16S ribosomal RNA". It matches the Rfam family "Bacterial small subunit ribosomal RNA", at positions 28 to 507 of the family's 1533-position model. The record is from RNAcentral.
GACGAACGCUGGCGGCGUGCCUAAUACAUGCAAGUUGAGCGAUGAAGAUUGGUGCUUGCACCAAUUUGAAGAGCAGCGAACGGGUGAGUAACGCGUGGGGAAUCUGCCUUUGAGCGGGGGACAACAUUUGGAAACGAAUGCUAAUACCGCAUAACAACUUUAAACAUAAGUUUUAAGUUUGAAAGAUGCAAUUGCAUCACUCAAAGAUGAUCCCGCGUUGUAUUAGCUAGUUGGUGAGGUAAAGGCUCACCAAGGCGAUGAUACAUAGCCGACCUGAGAGGGUGAUCGGCCACAGUGGGACUGAGACACGGCCCAAACUCCUACGGGAGGCAGCAGUAGGGAAUCUUCGGCAAUGGACGAAAGUCUGACCGAGCAACGCCGCGUGAGUGAAGAAGGUUUUCGGAUCGUAAAACUCUGUUGGUAGAGAAGAGCGUUGGUGAGAGUGGAAAGCUCAUCAAGUGACGGUAACUACCCAGAAAGGGACGGCUAACUACGUG